GACAGAGGGUGCAAACGUUGCUCGGAAUCACUGGGCGUAAAGGGCGUGUAGGCGGGUAGGAUAGUCAGAUGUGAAAGCCCUGGGCUCAACCCAGGAACUGCAUUUGAAACUCCCUUUCUUGAGUGUCGGAGAGGAAAGCGGAAUUCCUGGUGUAGAGGUGAAAUUCGUAGAUAUCAGGAGGAACACCGGUGGCGAAGGCGGCUUUCUGGACGACAACUGACGCUGAGACGCGAAAGCGUGGGGAGCAAACAGG
This 253-nucleotide ribosomal RNA is filed under the name uncultured bacterium. Its description in RNAcentral is "partial 16S ribosomal RNA". It matches the Rfam family "Bacterial small subunit ribosomal RNA", at positions 524 to 776 of the family's 1533-position model. The record is from RNAcentral.